GACGACGUUCCUUCCUAUGCAGCAUCCGACGCCCUCUCUGAAUCUUGCCACGAAGAGUAUCCAGCACAACCUACUGGUUCUUCAGUCAAUCAAGUCUUAAAAGAAGUGCAUAAGACUGUAUUGGCACUGGAGGCCAGGCUCAUUGCUUUCCAGGUGAAGUGUUUUCAACACAACAAAGAAAUGCUGCUCAUGCUCAAGCAGCAACAGAAGCAGCAGGGUCAUGCGUUGCUAGCGCUGCAUUUACCUGAUGGGUGUCCCCAGCUGCCAGCCACAACUUUUUUGCAGUUGGAAGAA
Ornithodoros turicata is the source of this 294-nucleotide long non-coding RNA. RefSeq lists it as uncharacterized. The transcript is spliced from 3 exons. The record is from RefSeq and is a predicted model, not a curated record. NCBI's taxonomy places the organism in Eukaryota, Metazoa, Arthropoda, Arachnida, Ixodida, Argasidae.